This 465-nucleotide ribosomal RNA is filed under the name uncultured bacterium. Its description in RNAcentral is "partial 16S ribosomal RNA". It matches the Rfam family "Bacterial small subunit ribosomal RNA", at positions 28 to 507 of the family's 1533-position model. The record is from RNAcentral.
GACGAACGCUGGCGGCGUGCUUAACACAUGCAAGUCGAACGGAAAGGCCCUGCUUGCAGGGUACUCGAGUGGCGAACGGGUGAGUAACACGUGGGUGAUCUGCCCUGCACUUCGGGAUAAGCCUGGGAAACUGGGUCUAAUACCGGAUAGGAGCCAUUUUUAGUGUGAUGGUUGGAAAGUUUUUUCGGUGUAGGAUGAGCUUGCGGCCUAUCAGCUUGUUGGUGGGGUAAUGGCCUACCAAGGCGGCGACGGGUAGCCGGCCUGAGAGGGUGGACGGCCACAUUGGGACUGAGAUACGGCCCAGACUCCUACGGGAGGCAGCAGUGGGGAAUAUUGCACAAUGGGCGCAAGCCUGAUGCAGCGACGCCGCGUGGGGGAUGACGGCCUUCGGGUUGUAAACUCCUUUCGCUAGGGACGAAGCUUUUUGUGACGGUACCUAGAGAAGAAGCACCGGCUAACUACGUG